UGGGCAACCUGCCCUCAGCUCUGGGAUAACCCCGGGAAACCGGGGCUAAUACCGGAUACGACCUCCGCGGGCAUCUGCGGAGGUGGAAAGGUUUUUCCGGCUGAGGAUGGGCCCGCGGCCUAUCAGCUAGUUGGUGGGGUGAUGGCCCACCAAGGCGACGACGGGUAGCCGGCCUGAGAGGGUGACCGGCCACACUGGGACUGAGACACGGCCCAGACUCCUACGGGAGGCA
RNAcentral lists this ribosomal RNA (232 nucleotides) under uncultured bacterium. RNAcentral's name for it is "partial 16S ribosomal RNA". It matches the Rfam family "Bacterial small subunit ribosomal RNA", at positions 118 to 350 of the family's 1533-position model. The record is from RNAcentral.